UACGAAGGGUGCAAACGUUGCUCGGAAUCAUUGGGCGUAAAGCGCACGUAGGCGGCCUCAUAAGUCGGAUGUGAAAUCCCACGGCUCAACCGUGGAAGUGCAUCCGAAACUGCGAGGCUCGAGUAUGGAAGAGGGUCGCAGAAUUCCCGGUGUAGAGGUGAAAUUCGUAGAUAUCGGGAGGAAUACCAGUGGCGAAGGCGGCGACCUGGGCCAAUACUGACGCUGAGGAGCGAAAGCCAGGGGAGCAAACGGG
RNAcentral lists this ribosomal RNA (253 nucleotides) under uncultured bacterium. RNAcentral's name for it is "partial 16S ribosomal RNA". It matches the Rfam family "Bacterial small subunit ribosomal RNA", at positions 524 to 776 of the family's 1533-position model. The record is from RNAcentral.